Molecule: ribosomal RNA, 424 nt
Filed under: Verrucomicrobiota bacterium
Lineage: Bacteria; Pseudomonadati; Verrucomicrobiota
Description: Verrucomicrobia bacterium partial 16S ribosomal RNA
Rfam family: Bacterial small subunit ribosomal RNA
Source: RNAcentral
UGAGGAAUAUUGGUCAAUGGACGCAAGUCUGAACCAGCCAAGUAGCGUGCAGGAUGACGGCCCUAUGGGUUGUAAACUGCUUUUAUAUGGGGAUAAAGUGGGGAACGUGUUCCCUUUUGCAGGUACCAUAUGAAUAAGGACCGGCUAAUUCCGUGCCAGCAGCCGCGGUAAUACGGAAGGUUCGGGCGUUAUCCGGAUUUAUUGGGUUUAAAGGGAGCGUAGGCCGUUUGGUAAGCGUGUUGUGAAAUGUAGGAGCUCAACUUCUAGAUUGCAGCGCGAAAUGUCAGACUUGAGUGCGCACAACGUAGGCGGAAUUCAUGGUGUGGCGGUGAAAUGCUUAGAUAUCAUGAAGAACUCCGAUGGCGAAGGCAGCUUACGGGAGCGCAACUGACGCUGAAGCUCGAAGGUGCGGGUAUCGAACAGG